AUACGGAGGGUGCAAGCGUUAUUCGGAAUCACUGGGCGUAAAGGACGCGUAGGCGGGUUGGCAAGUCAGACGUGAAAUCCUACAGCUUAACUGUAGAACUGCAUUUGAAACUGCUAACCUAGAGUAUGUGAGGGGGAGAUGGAAUUAGUGGUGUAGGGGUAAAAUCCGUAGAUAUCACUAGGAAUACCGAAAGCGAAGGCGAUCUCCUGGAACAUAACUGACGCUAAGGCGUGAAAGCGUGGGGAGCAAACAGUAUUAGAAACCCUAGUAGUCC
Molecule: ribosomal RNA, 274 nt
Filed under: uncultured bacterium
Lineage: Bacteria
Description: partial 16S ribosomal RNA
Rfam family: Bacterial small subunit ribosomal RNA
Source: RNAcentral